GCCCUAGUAGCUCAGUUCCAGAGCAACGGUCUUGUAAGCCGAAGGCCAGAGGUUAAAUUCCUCUCUAGUGCU
RNAcentral lists this transfer RNA (72 nucleotides) under Evermannella indica (Indian sabertooth). RNAcentral's name for it is "tRNA-Thr". It matches the Rfam family "tRNA". Rfam says of the family: Transfer RNA (tRNA) molecules are approximately 80 nucleotides in length. Their secondary structure includes four short double-helical elements and three loops (D, anti-codon, and T loops). Lineage: Eukaryota; Metazoa; Chordata; Actinopteri; Aulopiformes; Evermannellidae. The record is from RNAcentral.